This 85-nucleotide transfer RNA is filed under the name Brachyspira hyodysenteriae WA1. Its description in RNAcentral is "tRNA-Leu". The record is from RNAcentral. Lineage: Bacteria; Pseudomonadati; Spirochaetota; Spirochaetia; Brachyspirales; Brachyspiraceae.
AUUUGCUCGAGACUGGACUUGAACCAGCACGGUGUUACCCGACAGCACCUCAAGCUGUUGUGUCUACCUAUUCCACCACCCGAGC